RNAcentral lists this transfer RNA (76 nucleotides) under Oscillospiraceae bacterium. RNAcentral describes it as "tRNA-His". It matches the Rfam family "tRNA". From Rfam's summary of the family: Transfer RNA (tRNA) molecules are approximately 80 nucleotides in length. Lineage: Bacteria; Bacillati; Bacillota; Clostridia; Eubacteriales; Oscillospiraceae. The record is from RNAcentral.
GUGGGUAUAGUUCAAUUGGCAGAGCACUGGAUUGUGGUUCCAGGCGUUGUGGGUUCGAGUCCCAUCACCCACCCCA